CCCCUAGUAACUGCGAGUGAAGCGGGAAAAGCUCAAAUUUUAAAUCUGGCGGUCUUCGUGACCGUCCGAGUUGUAAUCUAGAGAAGCGUCUUCCGCGCUGGACCGUGUACAAGUCUCCUGGAAGGGAGCGUCAUAGAGGGUGAGAAUCCCGUCUUUGACACGGACCCCCAAGUGCUAUGUGAUGCGCUCUCGAAGAGUCGAGUUGUUUGGGAAUGCAGCUCAAAAUGGGUGGUAAAUUCCAUCUAAAGCUAAAUACAGGUGAGAGACCGAUAGCGAACAAGUACCGUGAGGGAAAGAUGAAAAGAACUUUGGAAAGAGAGUUAAACAGUACGUGAAAUUGCUGAAAGGGAAACGCUUGAUGUCAGUCGCGUCCGCCAGGGAUCAACCUCGCUUCAUUGCUGGGCGUAUUUCUUGGUCGGACGGGUCAGCAUCAGUUUCCAUCGUCGUACAAUGGCGGAGGGAACGUGGCACCUCUAGGGGUGUGUUAUAGCCUUUCGUCGUAUGCGUCGGUAGGGACUGAGGAACUCGGCACGACCUUUCUCAGGUCUGUGUCUAGGAUGCUGGCAUAAUGGCCUUAAGCGACCCGUCUUGAAACACGGACCAAGGAGUCUAACAUGCCUGCGAGUGUUCGGGUGGUAAAACUCGAGCGCGCAAUCAAAGUGAAAGUCGA
RNAcentral lists this ribosomal RNA (670 nucleotides) under Phylloporus nigrobruneus. Its description in RNAcentral is "Phylloporus nigrobrunneus partial large subunit ribosomal RNA". It matches the Rfam family "Eukaryotic large subunit ribosomal RNA", at positions 77 to 735 of the family's 3401-position model. Lineage: Eukaryota; Fungi; Basidiomycota; Agaricomycetes; Boletales; Boletaceae. The record is from RNAcentral.